This is a non-coding RNA of Gemmatimonadetes bacterium RBG_16_66_8, 87 nucleotides long. The record is from Rfam. Lineage: Bacteria; Pseudomonadati; Gemmatimonadota.
GGACAGGUGGCCGAGCGGCUGAAGGCACACGCCUGGAGAGCGUGUAACCGGGUAACCGGUUCGUGGGUUCGAAUCCCACCCUGUCCG